CCAGACUCCUACGGGAGGCAGCAGUGGGGGAUAUUGCACAAUGGGGGAAGCCCUGAUGCAGCGACGCCGCGUGAGUGAAGAAGUAUUUCGGUAUGUAAAGCUCUAUCAGCAGGGAAGAAAAAAGACGGUACCUGACUAAGAAGCCCCGGCUAACUACGUGCCAGCAGCCGCGGUAAUACGUAGGGGGCAAGCGUUAUCCGGAUUUACUGGGUGUAAAGGGAGCGUAGACGGCGACGCAAGUCUGGAGUGAAAGCCCGGGGCCCAACCCCGGGACUGCUCUGGAAACUGCGGCGCUGGAGUACGGGAGGGGCAGGCGGAAUUCCUGGUGUAGCGGUGAAAUGCGUAGAUAUCAGGAGGAACACCGGUGGCGAAGGCGGCCUGCUGGACUGCAACUGACGUUGAGGCCCGAAAGCGUGGGGAGCAAACAGGAUUAGAUACCCUUGUA
This 445-nucleotide ribosomal RNA is filed under the name uncultured bacterium. Its description in RNAcentral is "partial 16S ribosomal RNA". It matches the Rfam family "Bacterial small subunit ribosomal RNA", at positions 331 to 792 of the family's 1533-position model. The record is from RNAcentral.